Long non-coding RNA from Jaculus jaculus (lesser Egyptian jerboa), 867 nucleotides. RefSeq lists it as uncharacterized. The record is from RefSeq and is a predicted model, not a curated record. The transcript is spliced from 3 exons. Lineage: Eukaryota; Metazoa; Chordata; Mammalia; Rodentia; Dipodidae.
UCAGUCCAGCUUCCCCGCUGCCUCUCCAUCCCCUCCCCCUGAAAUCCUAGCUGCCAUCUCUUGUCAGACCACAGGCCACCUGGGAAGAGCUUCCCGGCUUCCUGCUGCUGUUUCUUCCAUCUGGACAUUUCUGACAGCAGCCAGGCUGUUGUGCUGGAGGGAAAGGGGGGUGGGCGGCGCCGGGUCCUACUGGGGUUUGUUGUGAAGUGCCCAGAGGGCUGUUCCCAGAUCCAGCUCUGUCUCCAGCUCAAUGGUGGGAAUUUCCCCGAGGAAAACACACUAAUCCUGCGUGGGACCACACCCAGCUCGUUCCACCCCUGUCCUGAGUGAGCAAGGCGCUUAGAGGCUUAGAGAAUGACAAGGGCACACGCAGACACACACACGUUGUCAGCCACAGGGUCUCACUCUAGCCCAGACUGACCUGGAGUUCACUAUAAUCUCAGGGUGGCAAUGAACUCACGGCGAUCCUCCUGCUCUGUGGGGGACUUAGUCACUUGGAGGGAACCACGGUGACACUCCACGUGCAGUUGAGGACUGCAUGACCCGCUGGCUGGGUAUCCCAAGACCUCAGCUCGUCCUUCUGGAAACAGCCUUCAGCGGGCAGACCUGCCCUCCGCCCCGUCUCCCCUGCGCUCGUCUCAAGCCUCCUCCCUCCCAGGGGAGCAGGUCCCGCGGUACCAUUGAAGAAUUUGAUGAUGUCAGUGAAGUCCAUGUUAUUCUCCAGGAUGAUGUCACGGUAGACCUCCACCAGCGCCAGCGCGAUGAACAGCACGUAGUGGGCAGAGGACACGUGCUUGGCUGCCCAGAUAGUCUCCCACACCGAGAAGACGUCAUCGUAGACGAGUUCUGCCGCGACACCAGCACGAG